CUUGUGAGGGCUAUAUUGAUGCACCCCAACUCCCUCUAUGGGGUGGUGUCAGAAAAGACCAACUGGGGAGGACUGGGGAGGACUUGCAUCCUCACUGGGGAGAAAUGAAGGCACCCCCCACCCCUGCCCAACCACCACCAAGGCAUCCCUAGAGACCAUGUGGGAGCCUGAACUCCCACCCCAUCCACCAAUUCAGUCAUCCCUACCCCUUUUCACCUCUACUUUUUUGCUGGGGUGGUGUCAGAUGAAGCCUACUAGAAAGUCAGGACUUACACUAUCUCUCACAGGUAAUAAGGCCAUCUACUGACUCUUUGCAGUGUCAGUGGGUCAGCCUCUUCCCAGCCAGGGUGGUAUCAGUGGCCCCC
Molecule: long non-coding RNA, 365 nt
Filed under: Homo sapiens (human)
Lineage: Eukaryota; Metazoa; Chordata; Mammalia; Primates; Hominidae
Description: non-protein coding lnc-BAG2-9:1
Source: RNAcentral